RNAcentral lists this ribosomal RNA (458 nucleotides) under Theileria annulata. RNAcentral's name for it is "SSU rRNA". It matches the Rfam family "Eukaryotic small subunit ribosomal RNA", at positions 486 to 984 of the family's 1831-position model. Lineage: Eukaryota; Apicomplexa; Aconoidasida; Piroplasmida; Theileriidae. The record is from RNAcentral.
CGGGGCUUAAAGUCUUGUAAUUGGAAUGAUGGGAAUUUAAACCUCUUCCAGAGUAUCAAUUGGAGGGCAAGUCUGGUGCCAGCAGCCGCGGUAAUUCCAGCUCCAAUAGCGUAUAUUAAAAUUGUUGCAGUUAAAAAGCUCGUAGUUGAAUUUCUGCUGCAUUGCUUGUGUCCCUCUGGGGUCUGUGCAUGUGGCUUUUUUCGGACGGAGUUUCUUUGUCUGAAUGUUUACUUUGAGAAAAUUAGAGUGCUCAAAGCAGGCUUCCGCCUUGAAUAGUUUAGCAUGGAAUAAUAAAGUAGGACUUUGGUUCUAUUUUGUUGGUUUUAGGUACCAAAGUAAUGGUUAAUAGGAACAGUUGGGGGCAUUCGUAUUUAACUGUCAGAGGUGAAAUUCUUAGAUUUGUUAAAGACGAACUACUGCGAAAGCAUUUGCCAAGGAUGUUUUCAUUAAUCAAGAAC